RNAcentral lists this unclassified non-coding RNA (263 nucleotides) under Hevea brasiliensis (rubber tree). Lineage: Eukaryota; Viridiplantae; Streptophyta; Magnoliopsida; Malpighiales; Euphorbiaceae. The record is from RNAcentral.
GUGCUUCAUGCUCUGAGAGACAAAUUGAAGCACCUAAUCAUGGCCAUAGCUGACCACAAGUCACCGUCUGAUAAUAGUAAUAACAACAAGGUCUGGGGAUUUUUCAAGCUGCCGUUUCGAGGAAGCAACCCCAACACGACGCCGUCUUUUUCAUCGUCAACGCAUCUCCACAACCAUAAUAACUCUCAAGUUGAAGGAUCGAAUGCUCAUGCUUCAAAUUCGGUGUCUUCGGUGGCCAGAUCGCUUUUGCCAACGCGGCGUCG